This 111-nucleotide small nuclear RNA is filed under the name Ostreococcus tauri. The record is from RNAcentral. Lineage: Eukaryota; Viridiplantae; Chlorophyta; Mamiellophyceae; Mamiellales; Bathycoccaceae.
GUAUUUCCUUCGGGAUUUACAUUUGCAAAACUGGAUAAAAAUACAGAGAAGAUUAGCAUGGCCCCUGCGCAAGGAUGACACUCAACAAAUCGUGAAAAGUCACAUGUUUUU